UGGGCAGUACCUCAGUGGUAAUAGAGCUCCCCCUUCGUACGAGGGAAGAUCUGGGUUCGAUUCCCGGCUGCUUUC
RNAcentral lists this transfer RNA (75 nucleotides) under Toxocara canis (dog roundworm). It matches the Rfam family "tRNA". From Rfam's summary of the family: Transfer RNA (tRNA) molecules are approximately 80 nucleotides in length. The record is from Rfam by way of RNAcentral. Lineage: Eukaryota; Metazoa; Nematoda; Chromadorea; Rhabditida; Toxocaridae.